Molecule: long non-coding RNA, 900 nt
Organism: Hippocampus comes (tiger tail seahorse)
Lineage: Eukaryota; Metazoa; Chordata; Actinopteri; Syngnathiformes; Syngnathidae
Exons: 3
Source: RefSeq, a predicted model, not a curated record
GGCAAAGGAAGAGCAUAGAAAUCAGAACCUGGGGGAGGGCGCUUAAAGCAGUGCCUACAAAACAGAAACACAAAAGUUGGCAUAGUUCUGCAGUCAUGUAAUGCCCAGUGAAUUGACGCGCAUGGAUCUGAUCUGCAGAGAGUUGUCUAUCUAUUUUGUUUGCUGGGUCCUCAGAAUGAUGUCACUACUGCUGCUUGAGGUCAUACCCCUUAUCCAUCCAUCCAUUUUCAACACCGCUUAUCCUGAAUGGGGUUGCGGAGGGUGCUGGAGGCUAACCCAGCUGACUACGGGCAAAAGGCAGACUACACCCUGAGCUGAUCGCCAGUUAGUCGCAACGCACAUAUAGUGACGAACAACCAUUCACACUCACAACCACAGAGGGAACCGAACCCCUUAUCCCAAAGGAGGACUUGUAGAACGCCUCUUCAUUUUUGAUGGGGGAAAAAAAACAAAAUCACUGGAACAUUAAGCACAAAGCUUUCUCACAAAGGCCGUCGUAGGGCUUCCAGAAAUCGCCCGUGGCUUCAAAAUGUGUAAUAUCCUGUCGUCUGCCUGGCUUUUAGACGCUUGGCUUUUAUCAAAUUGGCCGAACGGAAUGUUUGAAUGUGAGAGCUUGCGAUCAAGAAGAUGUCUUUCAUCUCACAUCUGGAACAUGUCAGAAUGAGACGUUCACAUUGCCCGCGGCAUCUCACAGAAUAAAAGAUGAUCUGUCCAAAGAUCCUCGGAUAUUCGGGUGGCGAGAUGCUGCUCAAUGGCACUCAGAGGGUGGAUGGGUACCACCACUACCAUCACCACCUCAAACUACAGGAACCUUUCAAACUGACUGAACGCUGCCCAAGAAACGUGACGAGCCUUGAACCUCACCUUGCUCUAGAACGGCAUUGGCCCCUUGUGGGAAAG